GAUCAUGGCUCAGGAUGAACGCUAGCUACAGGCUUAACACAUGCAAGUCGAGGGGCAGCAUGGUCUUAGCUUGCUAAGGCCGAUGGCGACCGGCGCACGGGUGAGCAACACGUAUCCAACCUGCCGUCUACUCUUGGACAGCCUUCUGAAAGGAAGAUUAAUACAAGAUGGCAUCAUGAGUCCGCAUGUUCACAUGAUUAAAGGUAUUCCGAUAGACGAG
RNAcentral lists this ribosomal RNA (220 nucleotides) under uncultured bacterium. RNAcentral describes it as "partial 16S ribosomal RNA". It matches the Rfam family "Bacterial small subunit ribosomal RNA", at positions 15 to 226 of the family's 1533-position model. The record is from RNAcentral.